UACGAAGGGUGCGAGCGUUAAUCGGAAUUACUGGGCGUAAAGCGCGCGCAGGCGGUGAUGUAAGACAGUUGUGAAAUCCCCGGGCUCAACCUGGGAACUGCAUCUGUGACUGCAUCGCUGGAGUGCGGCAGAGGGGGAUGGAAUUCCGCGUGUAGAAGUGAAAUGCGUAGAUAUGCGGAGGAACACCGAUGGCGAAGGCAAUCCCCUGGGCCUGCACUGACGCUCAUGCACGAAAGCGUGGGGAGCAAACAGG
RNAcentral lists this ribosomal RNA (253 nucleotides) under uncultured bacterium. Its description in RNAcentral is "partial 16S ribosomal RNA". It matches the Rfam family "Bacterial small subunit ribosomal RNA", at positions 524 to 776 of the family's 1533-position model. The record is from RNAcentral.